UCCGCGAUGGUGUAACGGCAGCACGACGGCCUUUGGAGCCGUUAAGUUCAGGUUCGAAUCCUGAUCGCGGAG
Molecule: transfer RNA, 72 nt
Filed under: Gryllotalpicola protaetiae
Lineage: Bacteria; Bacillati; Actinomycetota; Actinomycetes; Micrococcales; Microbacteriaceae
Rfam family: tRNA
About the family: Transfer RNA (tRNA) molecules are approximately 80 nucleotides in length. Their secondary structure includes four short double-helical elements and three loops (D, anti-codon, and T loops).
Source: Rfam by way of RNAcentral